This 154-nucleotide unclassified non-coding RNA is filed under the name soil metagenome. RNAcentral describes it as "partial internal transcribed spacer 1". The record is from RNAcentral.
UAAUAAGUGUUUUUAUGGCACUUUUUUAAAUCCAUAUCCACCUUGUGUGCAAUGUCGGUCGAUCUUCUUUUUUUUGAGGAUCGACCAAAACAUCAACCUUUAUUUUUUUAACUCUUUGUCUGAAAAAAUAUUAUGAAUAAAACAAUUCAAAAUA